Molecule: long non-coding RNA, 2908 nt
Organism: Pseudomyrmex gracilis
Lineage: Eukaryota; Metazoa; Arthropoda; Insecta; Hymenoptera; Formicidae
Exons: 3
Source: RefSeq, a predicted model, not a curated record
UUUUGUGAUAUAUCAGAGGAAGAUAUACGUGUAGAUAUACGUGAGGAAAUCACAGAAGAUAUACGUGUAGAAUUCAAACAAAAUAAUACAGAAGGUUAAAUGAACGGCAGUACGAGUGUUAUACAAGGUGUCAGUGUAUCUUAUUUAUUGGAAAAUAAUGUGUAAUCAGACGUUUCGAUCAAUCUUUGUGAUCUUCAUCAGUGAUAGUCUGUUGAAAAAUAAUAUGUCAAAAUACAAUUCCAAACACAAAACAACAAUUCCAUAAACUUUUUAGACGUCACUAUAAUUAACGAAGGCGUCAAAGUAAUAACAGAUUGGUAUCACAAGCCGACUUUCUCCGGUAGNUACUUGAAUUUUCAUUCCACACACCACAUAUCACAAAAAAUCGGAACUGUCAUAGGUAUGGUUGACAGAGUUAUUUUACUAUCGCACCCGAUCUUUCAUGAAAAUAAUCUUAAAAUUCUAACUAAUAUUUUAUUACAAAAUGACUAUCCUUUACAUCUCAUUUUUAACACUAUUAACAAACAAAUUAAAUAUUUAUUUACACAUAAAACCAACGAAAAUACACCUGCAUUAACGACGUCUGAAGAAACAAAAAAGUAUUUUACGAUCCCCUACAUUAACAAAUUAUCCCAAUCAAUAACACAAACGUAUCAAGGGAAUCUCAUUCGCUUACAGAAGUCUUAACAAUUUGAAUACAUACAUCAAAACAUUAAAAGAUCCGUUAGUUCUAGAAGACAAUAAAAAUGUAGUUUAUCAAAUAGAAUGCGACAAUUGUAACGCAACAUAUGUGGAUCAAACAAAAAGAAAAUUAAAAACGAGAUUAUCUGAACACAAGAACCAAAUAAACAGACCACACGUUAAUCAGUCAGUAGUCACUGAACAUAGAAAAAAUACAGGACAUAAUUUUAAAUGGCAAGAGACAACAAUAUUAGAUAGAGAAAAAUUUUAUCAAAAAAGAGCCAUUUCAGAAAUNAUUAAUAUUAAAUUACAAGAUAAUCCAAUUAAUAUAAUGUCCGGCACAGAAAAAUUAAAACCAUAUUUUUCAAUUUUGGAGACUUACAAAAAGAAAAUUUAGACAAUCAUUAGUAUAUGCGUUAGUAUAUGGAUUUGAAUUGUUAUUGUGCGAUUGGUUCACAUGUUCGUGAUAUUUGGAGGAGACAAACAUAUAUAUACUUGCGCUUGUUGUAAAGGCGUCAUAUCGCUGUUGUCUCUUUAACCAGUCAAGUGUUAUAACAACACACACACACAUCACAGACUUGGUUCUUUGUUGGAUAGUGAUAUGACUCCUAAUCUGAUUGUAUUGACUAUCGCUGAUGAAGAUCACAAAGAUUGAUCGAAACGUCUGAUUACACAUUAUUUUCCAAUAAAUAAGAUACACUGACACCUUGUAUAACACUCGUACUGCCGUUCAUUUAACCUUUCAAUUAUCGACGAGUUACAACUAUAAUAAAAUAAUACAGUUUGUGAUUUGUCAGUGACGCUAGAACAAUUCUGAAAACUCCUAAAACAUCAUGUGACAUUGUUAAUAUUGCUGGAGGAGAAUAUAUUCAUUUAGAUUUUGAAGAAAACAUUAAAUCAACUCUAAAACUCAUACCUAUUAAUAAAAUUCCAAGCAUUUUAGAAAUUUAUUUUCACAUAGACGGUGCCUCUUCGUAUAAUGUAAGCAAUAUUCAAUUGUAUCUUAUUUAACUUAGAGUGUCAAAUAUUUCUAGAAGUAAUCCAGAAAUUGUAGGAGUUUGGAAAGGAUCUUCAAAACCUUCAAGUGCUGUAGAACUAUUAAAACAUUUGUUGAUUAUGUUUUACAAGUUAAAACUAACAAGAUUAUUUGUAAUAAAAAAAAAUUGAAAAUUAAUCUUUGUUGCUUUAUUGCUGAUGCAGUUGCACGAGCCUUUAUAUUAGAAUAUCAAAAUCAUAAAUCUCGAGUCCCCUGCUCUAAAUAUUGAGUUAUAGAAGAAUCUACUCGUCCAGGUGUAAUAUUAUACAGGUGUAAUAUUAUACAGAAGUAUUGAUCAUCAAGUAAGAACAAACAAAGAAUAUAUUGUACAUUUAGAUGGAGAGCACCAUCUUGAAGGCGAAUCAUCAAUUGCAAGUCUUCCUAUGGAUUUAGUAAAUCAAACUGUUGUUUGAAUAUAUGCAUUUAGUGUGUCUUGGUGUUAUGGAAAAAAUAUUAGCCAUAAUUGAUGGAAAAUGUGCUUUCUCUGCAAAAUUGUUACCUGCUUCGACAAAAAUUCUUUCUUAUAGAUUACAAAAAAUUGCAAAAUAUUGUCCAAUAGAGUUUUCAAGAAAGCCAGUUACUAUAAUAAGAUAUCAUUUUUUCAAAGCAACAAAGUAUCGUCAAAUUCUAUUGUACAGCAGUCCGGUGAUUUUCCUUGAACUUAUGAAUGAAUUGAUGUAUUUGCACUUUCUAUUUUUGCACUCUGCAAUUCGAAUUUUAGCAGAUCGUGUUCGUUGUACAAAUGCAAAUUUUAUUGACAAAGCAGAAAAAAUGUUAAAAAUUUAUGUUCAAAGAGCUCCAGAACAUUAUGGCGUAGAAUUUCUUUCAUACAACAUUCAUGAUCUUUUACACUUGUCAAAAGAUGUCAAAACUCUUUUAGAUCCUUUAGAUUCGUUUUUGGCUUUUACACAUAAAAAUAAUUUGCAAUAGUUUAGAAAAAACUGUAGAAAGCCUACUCAUCAAUUGCAGCAAAUAGCUAAUAGACGCUGCGAAAAAAAUGUUACACAGAAGUUUGUCUUAUUCUCAAAUGGAUAAACGGAUAGAUUCCAUUAAAGUGUCACUGAGCUAUAUCCCUUUCAGUUUUCAUUUCUAAGUUUGUCGUUGCAUUACGCAAAUCGUCUAUUAAAUUGCAAAAACUUUUAUCUUGAGUACGUGUGUCCACAAGACGAUAAUCUCGUUUAUUUAUUUUUG